RNAcentral lists this long non-coding RNA (1667 nucleotides) under Manihot esculenta (cassava). Its description in RNAcentral is "long non-coding RNA (MESC_LNC005027)". Lineage: Eukaryota; Viridiplantae; Streptophyta; Magnoliopsida; Malpighiales; Euphorbiaceae. The record is from RNAcentral.
AUUUCAGGAACUGAUAGUUAUUGAAUGUUAUAGAUUAUAGGAAGUAAAUAUAUUAAUAUAGAAAAUAAAUAUUGAUAGAUGGGUUAGUUGCUUAAUCUUAGGGAUUGUAUAAUCAUAGACUUGAUUUUCCUUCCUGUUUAGAUACCGUCUUUUAUAUAUAAAUAGGUUGUAAUCUUUAUUAUGAAAAACAACAAUAAAAUAUUAUAUUUCUACAUGGUAUCAGAGCCUCAUUAGAGAUUUAAAUUUUUUUGGAGACUUAUGGCUCCUGUUCUUUUGUGUUAUCCAUCUAGGAUAAUAUUUGUCUCUCACCGUUCACCUAAAGUCGCCUUGCAGCCCCUUGUCAGAUUUGUUGUUCGUUUGCUGUUUGGGUAUUGGGUGGAGGCGUUUUUUGAUACUGUUCAUUUUGGGUUAUCUAUAAAGAGUAAUAUUUAGAGACUUAGACCUCCGUUCAUUUUGAGUUACCCAUAAAGAGUAACAUUUGGAGACUUAGACCUCUAUUUACCCAUAAAGGUAAUAUUUGGAGACUUAGAGCUUGGAGACUUAGGGUUCUGUUCAUUUGGGUUACUCAUAAAGGAUAACAUUUGGAGACUUAGGGAUCUGUUUAUUUGGGUUAAUCAUAAACGGUAAUAUUUGGAGACUUAGGGCUCUGUUCAUUUGGGUUAUAAUGAUAACAUUUGGAGACUCAAGGCUCUGUUCAUCGGGUACUGUUCACGAGCACUGUUCAUCGGGUACUGUUCACUGGGUACUGUUCACAAGCACUGUUCAUCGGGUACUGUUCACGAGUCACGAGUACUGUUCACGAAUUCGAAAUUCUAUUCACAGUAAGGUGAUUAGUCUUAUUAAUCAUUCUGAAUUUGUUAAAAAAUUAAUGGAGUAUUUGGAAUUUCUAUAUUCUGGCAAAGAGAAUAUUUCUCGUAUUUAUGAUAUGUGUAAGGCAUUUUACCAAGCUGAGAAAAUGUGGUCUCCCGUUCUAGUGCUGAAUCUGAAUGUCGAGUUAUGGCAAAAAUCAUUUGUGAAGUUUUGUGGGUACGUCAAUUAUUGGAAGAAGUUAGGUUUACAAAUUCGGUGUCUGCUAAGUUGUAUGGGACGAGUUGAUUAUAUAUGUAACAAGUUGGGCAUGAUUAAUAUUUAUGCUCCAACUUGAGGGGGAGUGUUAUAGAUUAUAGGAAGUACAUAUUGAUAGAUGGAUUAGUUGCUUAAUCUUAGGGAUUAUAUAAUCAUAGACUUAAUUUUCCUUCCUGUUUAGAUACCGUCUUUUAUAUAUAAAUAGGUUGUAAUAUUUAUUAUGAAAAACAACAAAAUAUUAUAUUUCUACAUUGAAUUUCCUAGCAUAUGAAAAACACUGUUUACUAGAGAUAUAAUGAAGGUUUAGCAAAUCGAGAUUGGUGUCGAAAAGUUGGAAAGGAAUGCCCUGCAUAGUCUAAAGAUCAAAAUGUUUCUUUACUUGUUCCUAUAUGCAUAAAACUUGUGCAUCUAAUGACUUGAUUACUCUGACCUUAUUGUGAACUGUUAUCCGUGCAAACUAUAAAGCCAAAUUCUGGUUGAAGGCUUGCGUGUAAUGCACAAAAGUGGGGAUAGAGUGUAAAAGGCAAGUAUCAAUUAGAAGAAAAAGCUAAACGAAAAAAGAUAAAUGCUCCAUAAACAAAAACUCUUAACAGAAAUUUCUG